AGGAGGAACAGCCCCAGUGGCGGGGCAGCUCUGGAGCCCUGGAUUCAGCUCCCGCAGUAACUCCGGAGCUCUCCGUGUGCAGGGCCUGGAGGCUCUGGGGCGGG
This 104-nucleotide microRNA precursor is filed under the name Canis lupus familiaris (dog). Its description in RNAcentral is "mir-8834 microRNA precursor family". It matches the Rfam family "mir-8834 microRNA precursor family". The record is from Rfam by way of RNAcentral. Lineage: Eukaryota; Metazoa; Chordata; Mammalia; Carnivora; Canidae.